GUAUUACAAAGGCAAACUCUUUGAAAAAAGAGGACGCAAAGCCACGGGCCUAAGGACCUUAGUCUAUGGCGGCCGGGUUGCCUUA
RNAcentral lists this non-coding RNA (85 nucleotides) under Desulforamulus hydrothermalis. Its description in RNAcentral is "Desulfotomaculum hydrothermale c-di-GMP sequence". It matches the Rfam family "c-di-GMP-I riboswitch aptamer". From Rfam's summary of the family: GEMM was predicted in a large-scale screen for bacterial structured RNA regulatory elements. RNAcentral also lists the same sequence under 1 other name. The record is from RNAcentral. Lineage: Bacteria; Bacillati; Bacillota; Clostridia; Eubacteriales; Peptococcaceae.